RNAcentral lists this ribosomal RNA (292 nucleotides) under uncultured bacterium. RNAcentral describes it as "partial 16S ribosomal RNA". It matches the Rfam family "Bacterial small subunit ribosomal RNA", at positions 505 to 796 of the family's 1533-position model. The record is from RNAcentral.
GUGUCAGCCGCCGCGGUAAUACGGAGGGGGUUAGCGUUGUUCGGAAUGACUGGGCGUAAAGCGCGCGUAGGCGGGCUGGAAAGUCAGAGGUGAAAGCCCGGGGCUCAACCCCGGAAUGGCCUUUGAAACUCCCAGCCUUGAGUUCGAGAGAGGUGAGUGGAAUUCCGAGUGUAGAGGUGAAAUUCGUAGAUAUUCGGAGGAACACCAGUGGCGAAGGCGGCUCACUGGCUCGACACUGACGCUGAGGUGCGAAAGCGUGGGGAGCAAACAGGAUUAGAAACCCUAGUAGUCC